GGAAUCAUUAGGAAUAAAAAGAAAUUCUCAGUUAGUGUGACACACAUCUGAGCUGGCUACUAAGGGAAUAAAUAGCUUCUAGAAGAUUUCAUCCAUGGCGGUAUUCGGCAGGAUCCGAUUACAUUUAAAUGCUAAUGCACAUCCUGCAGCAUUCUGAUUCACCGGAGGACUAAUGUUGCUGAUAGGCACGCAGAUAGCCUGGACGGAUAUUACAUUCUGAGCAACAGCAGAGCAAAACCCUCCCAACCUUCAGUUCCUCCAAAACGCCCAUAAACUGGCUGAGCUAGGAAAUAGCCACAAAAGAAGAGAAAUGCUCUGCUGUGGAAAACAGUUUGGCACUUCCUCAGAUGGUUAACCAUAGUUUCCACGUGGUCCAGCAACUUCAUGCCCAGGGUAUCAGCAGGAGUGACAUGAGCAAACGCUUGAAACAAAUCUGUGCAACGGGCUUGCCCUCUGCGCUGCUGUCAUUGCCCUGGGAAGGCAUGCCGUGAGAAGCAGCUGCCCCAGCAGCCCUGACCCCAGAAUGAACGUCUGUGGAGCAGAGCCGCCCCAGCUGACUCGCAGCCCCACAGUUGAGGCAGAGCUGCCUGGUAUAAGGCCUACGGCUGUACGCCACGGCGUGGUUCCACACAACGAACUUCUCCCAAAUAAGAAGAGUGAUAAAACCCUCCCAGAUGUCAGAUGCUCACUGUGCUACAUCUCCUACUGCAUCGUACCCCCUGCUUCCCAAUUCCUCGCACAGAGCCAAUACAGCACACAACACAAAAUGUUCGCUCAGUCUAUCUUUGUUAGCUAUCUACUGAUAAUACAGAGUUUCUGAUUGCCAUUUAUAUAGAGAGAGAUAAAAAAUAGAAAACCAAUUUUGACAUUCUCUUGAGUCAACAGGACCCAGGGGCCUCCUAGGUUCCUGAAUGCGGAAUGUAAAAUAUUAGUGAUGCUCAAAUAAGCAACUUGCUUCUUAGAGUAGCAGGCAGAAUUCCGUAGGAGUGGCAGCGAGACCUAACUAGAGAAGUCUGACAUGGAGGAUUUAAUUACACGCCUUUUGUGAGUGUGAAGUAGACGUUGUGUGUGGUCCCACAACCACGCAACCGCAUCUGUGCAUCCCAGGCAGAGCCAGUGAACCCAAACGUCUUCAGGUUGAAACUGAAGCAAGAAGUGUAAGGAAAUUGAAAAUUCUUAAGCAUCAUAAAAACAUCCUCUUGCUCUUGUUCCAGUUCUAACCAGUCAAUCAACCAGCAUUCACCAGUCUUCAUGUCAGUCCCCAGCACUAGGGCUGCCCCUAAAGCCGACAGGGCCUGUGCCAAGAGCAGAGAUAGGGGUUCACGUAUCAUAUGUCUAAAUAGUCAAAAGUUAUAAAUCAAGCUAACAAACUACAAAAUAACAUAUAUUCUAUCUUACUACCUUGACAAAUAUACUUUCACAGAAAC
This 1427-nucleotide long non-coding RNA is filed under the name Equus caballus (horse). Its description in RNAcentral is "lncRNA (ENSECAG00000046390.1)". The record is from RNAcentral. Lineage: Eukaryota; Metazoa; Chordata; Mammalia; Perissodactyla; Equidae.